RNAcentral lists this ribosomal RNA (406 nucleotides) under uncultured Spirochaeta sp. RNAcentral describes it as "bacterial SSU rRNA". It matches the Rfam family "Bacterial small subunit ribosomal RNA", at positions 976 to 1382 of the family's 1533-position model. Lineage: Bacteria; Pseudomonadati; Spirochaetota; Spirochaetia; Spirochaetales; Spirochaetaceae. The record is from RNAcentral.
AGGGCUUGACAUACGUUGGAAGCGCAUCGAAAGGUGCGUGCCGCUUGCGGCCGGCGUACAGGGUGCUGCAUGGCUGUCGUCAGCUCGUGCUGUGAAGUGUUGGGUUAAGUCCCGCAACGAGCGCAACCCCUGCUGCCUGUUGCCACACGAGAGGUGGGGACUCAGGCGGGACCGCCGGUGACAAACCGGAGGAAGGUGGGGGACGACGUCAAGUCAUCAUGGCCCUUAUGUCCUGGGCUACACACGUGCUACAAUGGCCGGUACAGAGCGCAGCGAGGCCGCGAGGCGGAGCGAAUCGCUUAAAGCCGGUCCCAGUACGGAUUGGAGUCUGCAACCCGACUCCAUGAAGUUGGAAUCGCUAGUAAUCGCGCAUCAGCAUGGCGCGGUGAAUACGUUCCCGGGCCUU